This 452-nucleotide ribosomal RNA is filed under the name uncultured organism. Its description in RNAcentral is "partial 16S ribosomal RNA". It matches the Rfam family "Bacterial small subunit ribosomal RNA", at positions 332 to 800 of the family's 1533-position model. The record is from RNAcentral.
UACACUCCUACGGGAGGCAGCAGUGGGGAAUAUUGGACAAUGGGCGCAAGCCUGAUCCAGCCAUGCCGCGUGAGUGAUGAAGGCCCUAGGGUUGUAAAGCUCUUUCACCGGAGAAGAUAAUGACGGUAUCCGGAGAAGAAGCCCCGGCUAACUUCGUGCCAGCAGCCGCGGUAAUACGAAGGGGGCUAGCGUUGUUCGGAAUUACUGGGCGUAAAGCGCACGUAGGCGGAUCGAUCAGUCAGGGGUGAAAUCCCAGGGCUCAACCCUGGAACUGCCUUUGAUACUGUCGAUCUGGAGUAUGGAAGAGGUGGGUGGAAUUCCGAGUGUAGAGGUGAAAUUCGUAGAUAUUCGGAGGAACACCAGUGGCGAAGGCGGCUCACUGGUCCAUUACUGACGCUGAGGUGCGAAAGCGUGGGGAGCAAACAGGAUUAGAAACCCUGGUAGUCCCAUGA